Suricata suricatta (meerkat) is the source of this 418-nucleotide long non-coding RNA. RefSeq lists it as uncharacterized. The transcript has 2 exons. The record is from RefSeq and is a predicted model, not a curated record. NCBI's taxonomy places the organism in Eukaryota, Metazoa, Chordata, Mammalia, Carnivora, Herpestidae.
CCUCUGUAUAAAAGUCUGCACACUGCCAGUAACCUGGACAAAUCCUAACACGGGAGUUGUGGGGUCAGCGGCCGCGCUGAGAUGGGGGAGCCUGGCUCAUCUGCCUUGGUCGCCCUGCAGGCCUCUACCCCCAUGGACGUAUACCUGCCCUCGGCGGGGCGUGAGCACAGCGCUGCCCCAGGAAAAAUCUUCCUUUCCUAAAAAGCUCUCCCGAGGUGUGAUCUACCUGCUGCAGAAGUCACUCACAACCCGUGCAUGAGGGCCCCCCCGCAGAGGCACUCCCAACCCACAGAGCCCCGUGCUGCUGGCCGACACCUGUCCUGAGGAACCACGAGUCUGCUUUCUCUGCCUACAGUUCCAUCUUUUCUAGAGAGUUCAUGUGAACAAGUCUUUUCAGUAAACAUUUUUCUGAGACUCA